RNAcentral lists this ribosomal RNA (301 nucleotides) under uncultured bacterium. Its description in RNAcentral is "partial 16S ribosomal RNA". It matches the Rfam family "Bacterial small subunit ribosomal RNA", at positions 509 to 807 of the family's 1533-position model. The record is from RNAcentral.
CAGUCGCCGCGGUAAAACGGAGGGGGCUAGCGUUGUUCGGAAUUACUGGGCGUAAAGCGCACGUAGGCGGCUUGGUAAGUUAGAGGUGAAAGCCCGGAGCUCAACUCCGGAAUUGCCUUUAAGACUGCCGAGCUAGUAGGUGAGAGAGGUAAGUGGAAUUCCGAGUGUAGAGGUGAAAUUCGUAGAUAUUCGGAAGAACACCAGUGGCGAAGGCGGCUUACUGGCUCAUACUGGACGCUGAGGUGCGAAAGCGUGGGGAGCAAACAGGAUUAGAUACCCCAGUAGUCCCUGUCUCUUAUAC